RNAcentral lists this unclassified non-coding RNA (393 nucleotides) under Hevea brasiliensis (rubber tree). Lineage: Eukaryota; Viridiplantae; Streptophyta; Magnoliopsida; Malpighiales; Euphorbiaceae. The record is from RNAcentral.
ACAGACUUCAUGAUGAAUAGAAAAAUUCAUAUAAGUUGGAGUUAGUUGUUUCUGAAGUGAUUUAAUUAAACACAGUUGUUUGAAUUUGAAAUGGCCUGGUAAUACCACGAAGCAUGUCACUAAUAUUGACAUCUAAUAGAGUUUCCCUCUGACUGAUGUUGUACUAUUUCAUUCCUUCAUUUCUCUGGGGAAAUUACUCAUUUUUUGCUCAUUAUGUUGUAAUUUUGUUUUUAGGUUACGAUUGGUAUAACGUAAUGUAAUGGAAUGUAAUCAACUAUGUAAUGGAAUCAGAAUUGUAAUGUAAUGAAUGUAUUAAGCAUUACAUUACUUUGUUUGGAAGAACAAAAAUGUGAUGCAAUCACCAUCACAAUAUCAUAUUUGUUUACAUAUACA